Molecule: ribosomal RNA, 403 nt
Filed under: uncultured Bacillota bacterium
Lineage: Bacteria; Bacillati; Bacillota
Description: uncultured Firmicutes bacterium partial 16S ribosomal RNA
Rfam family: Bacterial small subunit ribosomal RNA
Source: RNAcentral
UGGGGAAUAUUGGGCAAUGGAGGGAACUCUGACCCAGCAACGCCGCGUGAAUGAAGAAGGUCUUCGGAUUGUAAAGUUCUGUCUUAGGGGACGAAGAAUGACGGUACCCUAAAAGAAAGCCACGGCAAACUACGUGCCAGCAGCCGCGGUAAUACGUAGGUGGCAAGCGUUGUCCGGAAUGACUGGGCGUAAAGGGAGUGUAGGUGGUUAGUUAAGUUAUAUGUGAAAGCCUUUGGCUCAACCAAAGAACUGCAUAUAAUACUGGCUGACUUGAGUGUGGGAGAGGAAAGUGGAAUUCCUAGUGUAGCGGUGGAAUGCGUAGAUAUUAGGAGGAACACCAGAGGCGAAGGCGGCUUUCUGGACCAUAACUGACACUGAGGCUCGAAAGCGUGGGGAGCAAACA